CCUGCCCCUGCCCUGAGCCCUUGUUUAUAGAGGACAGAAGACCUUGAUCUGGUUGCUCACUCCAGGGUUCCCUGAAAGCAACUUCUAGCUCACAGGCUGCUCAGGAGCGAGGUGUGGGUUCCAGAAUACCUACCAGACCCCGGUUCUCAGUAGCCACUGCUUGUAAGGUGGCCCUUCCGAUUUGUCCCACGAUGGUGGACGUGGGGCCCCACCCGGCCCCACUGCAGGAUGCAUUUCACUUAUAAUUGUAGGAAGAGCAAAAAACACAACAGAACCCCCAUCUUCCUCCUCUCUCCCUUUGUUUCAAGACAAACAAGAGCAACUGGCAUCCCCCGCCCCGCCCCCAACUGCUUGUGCCGCCAGCCCGGGCGCCCGGGAAAGGAAACCUGUUUUCCUGCUGCCGGGUCCUGUUUCCCCGCCCUCCGCCCGCGCCCCCAGCGCCCAGAGCUCCCGGCUCCCGCGGCCCGCGUUCCAGGGAACCCAAUCCCCGCGCACGUGACGCCUCGGAGGCUGGCCUCACCCCGAGCUGGGCACAGUGGCUGUCGCCCGCCCACCCUGGGUCUCCCAGGUGAUUUGACACAGCUGAGAGUUGGCGUCCCCUUGGAUUCUGCAUGGAAACCCUAGUCCCUGGUUCGGGCCUGAAAUGCAGUGAACUGACACAGUUGAAAAGAUGGAAGAGAGAUAACAAGACCUUUUAAAAAUAUCCUUGUAUGUCCUGCUCCCCAUGGUCCUGUUCUUUCACUGUCAAGAAGCCGCCACAGAAGAUGGGACAGAACUCACCCCUUAAAACCAGGCCCAGUGGACCCCACCUCAGCACCGUGACUGCAGUCUCCGACGUCCAGGCGCUCACACACCUCCUGAGCUUUGGAGGACACGUGGGAAUUUUGGGGGAUGGCUGGAGGUUCGAGAGUUUCCUUAGCAGAUCAUUUCCGGCCGAUGCUGAGAUUCAGCCCCUGUUGGAGCUCAAAAUGGAACCGCUUCAGAAACGCAGCCCAGUGGAUGUCAGGAGUGUGAAGUGGCAGCUCAGUUGUGGGAGGGGCUCUGACAAGAAAAGAAUUGCCCUGGACCCAAGCAAAACUCAAAAUCCACAGAGUUUUAUUUGAAUGAUCUUGAAGGUUUUCUCCAUUUAACAACAUUAAGAUUCUUUUGCUUGGCUGUAACAUUUUGACACUGAUAGUAUGAAUACCAAGGAGGAAUGUGAUGUAGGUAGAAGUGUUUUGGACCAACUGAAAUAAAUUCAGAUAAAAGAUAUUUA
Long non-coding RNA from Marmota monax (woodchuck), 1255 nucleotides. RefSeq lists it as uncharacterized. NCBI's taxonomy places the organism in Eukaryota, Metazoa, Chordata, Mammalia, Rodentia, Sciuridae. The transcript is spliced from 3 exons. The record is from RefSeq and is a predicted model, not a curated record.